UAAACGAACGCGUUGGCGAAGUCGGUUCGGCAAUUCGUCGAGCCGUUGCGAAGUUAUUAAAGAAACGGACGUUUAAGCUUCGUUUUCGCCUGGAGGGCCGAGGCGACAUCGUAUACUCAUGAAAACGGAUUUGAAGUAUCGUGGUACAUAACCGAAGACCUUUAAUUUCCGGAUCGUGAAUUGGAGGCCGUUCGGGUGGUCGCGCGAGAGAUCGGGCCAAACCGGAUGCCGGGUGCCGCGGGAGGCCGAUUGCAAGUGUCGACAAGCAAUCGGAAUGCGAAAUGAGGUGGAUUGUGCUCACCGAAGCGACUAGGUCGCCUAUAUGUCUAAGAGUAAUGGUUUUCUAAUUGAUGCAUAUAGUUGUGUUGGUAGGCUUACAUGAUGAUAUGAAUGCUUGAAACAUACUAUGUAGUUGAGAUUACCUACCAAUGAGAUGAGAUGCAUAAUGAAUUAAAUGCUAAAAGAAUGCAUGAGAUGCUAAGUAUGGACUAUUUUGGAUAAUGCCUAUAUGUAUGAUGACAUAUUAUGAAUUAACAUAUUGUGGAUUAUGUUAAAUAGAAAAACAUACUUGAUGACAUAUUGUCAUAUUGUGGAACAUAGUAGAUAGAAAUGUAUGCAUGUUGAUAUAUCUUGAGAUAUGAGUUGAUAUAUAUGCACGUUGAUAUAUUGUGGACUAUGUUAAAUAACAUAUGCAUGUUGAACUUAGGUCUAUAACUCUUGGAUGGUUAGAAAACUCGACAUUGGAAAACAAUGACAUAUGAACUAUGAUAUGUGACGUGGACAAUCUAUAUAUAUUAGAUCGAGUGGCAUAUGAUUAGUAUAGUGGAAACACUUAUGGUAUGUUGAACACUUAGAAAACAAGUGUGGCACGAGUCCGAGAAUAUAGUAGUGUAUAUGACACAAGUGAUAGCAAAGAAUGCAAAGAAAAGAAUGAUUGAAAUAUUAUGACAUUUCAACUCUAGAGUUAGGGUCAUUUGAGCAUAGUUUUCCUAAAGUUAAGGAAUUGAUUGAACUUGACAUCCUCAAGAUUUUGGAUUUGAUCAUUGAUCAUACUCACCUUUAGUCCUUGCUCGAGGUUGUGGUAGCUCCCCCUCGGGCAAUGUGCUCCGGAGUCGACAUCACUGGGUUGUAGCGGUUAUCUCCCCAGAGGACGGUCCCACCGGGUUGUAGCGGGUAUCUCCCCGGUUAAUGGGAUUUUGGGUUGGUGAGUUUGUUGAGGGCGAAACCUUCGGGUUAGCCAAGAGAUUGGGUAACAAGCACAUGAGCUAUAAUAAUAUCCUAGUUGAGUGGACUUAAGGCUGAGGUGCAAGUAAGACGUCCUUCGCCUCGAGCCUGCCUUUGCGCGGUACUCCGCGAAUGAUUGACUCGAGACCGAGUCGGGUUGAUAGUUGGUAAAGGUAAAUGAGACCCUAUGAUCAGAAUGGUAAUUGAUAUUAGUUUAAAAUAGAGAAAUAACUUCGAGGUCAAUUGAAUGAGCUAUGAAUAGCAGGAUUAAAGUAGUUUCGAUUGAACUACUAAUUGGUUGCAUAAAUCGCAUGAUUUUCAUAUUGCAUGGUUGUGAGGCAUGACAUAUAUUUCAAUUAUCGCAUAUAUAUAUAUAUAUCUGUUGGAUAUUUGUUGGACUAACAUGUUGCAGUGCCUCCCUUGGACCUAUUGGUCGAGCUUUUCCCUUAGGUAGCCGUACCCAUUGGAACCAUCGAGUUGGUUCUCACUCCACGUUGUUUUGGGGUGUUACAGGUUCACACAUGAGCAGCGCAGCGGCGCGAGGCGAGGGCGUAGCUCCAUAGUUAGCACCCUACCACCGAGACCAGAGAUAGCGGUACCCCGAGUCAGCCUAGUUAGGGGUGUAGAAGAAAAGAAAAGGAAAGAAUGAACAAUGUUGUAAUAAUUUUGAUUGUAUUUGGAAGUUAAAUGUAAAAUGUAAUUGUGAUGUAAAAUAUAUCUAGUGAAUGUGAAUGCUUGUAAUAACAAGUAGAUUAUGUUUUUGAUACUUCCUUAUGCAAUCUUUGAUUGAAAUGUGUUCAUAGUUGGAACUUUGUACAUUGUAUUGAUUGCGACGCCUUGUAUGUAUAGGGGAGACUCUGUCCGCGGUACCGGAAAAACUCUGUCCGUUCGGCGGUCUGUCGGCGUGCCCGAAACCGGCCAAAUAGGCGGGCUCGGAGCGUGACAUGACAAGACCCUUUAAAUUUUUCUCUCACAUAUAUUUUAAUUAAAUAUAUUA
Molecule: long non-coding RNA, 2221 nt
Filed under: Ananas comosus (pineapple)
Lineage: Eukaryota; Viridiplantae; Streptophyta; Magnoliopsida; Poales; Bromeliaceae
Description: long non-coding RNA (ACOM_LNC013317)
Source: RNAcentral